Molecule: RNA transcript, 3795 nt
Organism: Balaenoptera musculus (blue whale)
Lineage: Eukaryota; Metazoa; Chordata; Mammalia; Artiodactyla; Balaenopteridae
Gene: HOXD11
Gene name: homeobox D11
Exons: 3
Source: RefSeq, a predicted model, not a curated record
GCUGGGUCUCCCCCCUCAGCUCUCCGCUUCUUUCCCUUCCCCCUUCCUCCGCCUUCCUCCCCCUCCCUCCUCCUCCCUGCCGGCCUCGGUCCGCGUACUUAAAGGCGCGGGCGGGCGCGGGCGGGCGGCCCAGCCGGGCGGUGGCAGAUGCACCCAGCAGUGGCAGCCGCCGGCGGCGCACAGGUGACCGGCCUGAGGCACAGCCUGAUCAGGGGGUGCCCGGGGAGAGCUGGCUGGAGAGGGAGGCCGAUCCGCCCCCAGCGCGCGCGCGUCUCGGCGCCAGGAACCGUCCCGGAGUGUGUUGGCGAGCACUGAUAUAGAUAUAAGGACAUUUCUCUCCAUGGCGUCACGUGACAUAAUUACCACCAGAAUCAAUCAAGAUGAAUAGCACGUCAGCUCCCGGUGGGGAUUUUUGCUUAAUUGAUCCUGGCCCAAGUCUCUUGUGCAAUCGAUGGCUCAGGUUGGCGGCGCGGGGAGCGGCCCGGGGCUCGCCGGCGCGCACGCCGCGGAGCCAUGAACGACUUUGACGAGUGCGGCCCGAGCGCAGCCAGCAUGUACUUGCCCGGCUGCGCCUACUAUGUGGCCCCGUCGGACUUCGCCAGCAAGCCGUCGUUCCUGUCACAACCGUCGUCCUGCCAGAUGACUUUCCCCUACUCUUCCAACCUGGCGCCGCACGUCCAGCCCGUGCGCGAAGUGGCCUUCCGCGACUACGGCCUGGAGCGCGCCAAGUGGCCAUACCGCGGCGGCGGCGGAGGCGGUGCAGGGGGCGGCGGCGGCGGCGGCCCCGGCGGGGGCGGCAGCGGCGGCGCCGGUAGCUACGCUCCCUACUACGCUGCAGCGGCGGCGGCGGCGGCGGCGGCGGCGGCCGAGGAGGCGGCCAUGCAGCGCGAGCUCCUCCCGCCCGCGGGUCGCCGUCCGGAUGUGCUCUUCAAGGCGCCGGAGCCGGUGUGCGCCGCGCCCGGGCCGCCGCACGGCCCCGCGGGCGCCGCCUCCAAUUUCUACAGCGCCGUGGGCCGCAACGGCAUCCUGCCGCAGGGCUUCGACCAGUUCUACGAGGCUGCACCCGGGCCCCCGUUCGCCGGACCGCAGCCCCCUCCGCCGCCCGCGCCGCCGCAGCCCGAGGGCGCCGCCGACAAGAGCAACCACAAGACGGCGGCCAGUGGCGGUGGGGGAAGUCCCUGCGCCAAGACGACCCCCGGCUCGGAGCCCAAGGGGGCGGCAGAGGGCGGCGACGGCGAGGUGCCCCCGGGGGAGGCGGGGGCUGAGAAGAGCGGCGGCGCAGUGGCCCCCCAGCGAUCCCGAAAAAAGCGCUGUCCCUACACCAAGUAUCAGAUCCGCGAACUGGAACGGGAGUUUUUCUUUAACGUGUACAUAAACAAAGAGAAAAGACUCCAACUUUCUCGGAUGCUCAACCUCACUGACCGGCAAGUCAAAAUCUGGUUCCAGAAUCGCAGAAUGAAAGAAAAGAAACUGAACAGAGACCGUCUGCAGUAUUUCACUGGAAACCCCUUAUUUUGAGAGCUCCAGGAAGCACCCCUCUCCCCUGAGCCCCACUCACCCACUCUCCUCCCCACCAGCCUGCCCUGGGCAGGCCCAAUGUCCUUGGGUUUAAUGACGCCUCUUCUCUGUGGAACUCCACGAUUCCUUCCCACGGUCAACUCGGGACCUCCCAGCGACCACUGCAGCCUGCGGACGAGGUCGGGGACUUGGCCGAACGGAUCCUAAUAAGGGGAAAAUGCAAGCUUGUAUGUCCACCACCGUAGGAGAGCCGAACCUAGAGAUACCAUUUCGCGUUUGCCUGGCCUUGGAGAGCCACACGGGGGCGUGCUCACGUUCCAGAAGCCGCAUUUGUCGGAGAGGCAGCGGUACCAUAUCUUUCCAAUACUGGAUUCUAAUACUGGAUUCUAAUAGCGGUUAGAAAUCGCUGAGGUGUUUGAUGUUUGUUUAUUCUAAGCAGCCAUGAGGUUGGGAAGUUGUAUAAAGACAGAGGAACGGGAGCAGAUUCCUGAAACGAGAUCACCUAAUCGUUGUCUUCUUAAAGAUAAAGCUGUUGCAAAAAAUACCUCGGUAUAACCUGGUGGUGUCGAGGAGAGGUUUUUAAAAGACAAAUAUGUGCAUUUCAAAAUAGGUCAUGCCACUGCGAGUUAAUUAAAUUACGGAAAUCAGUUUUCUUGGUGGUUUGAGUGUGGAGAGCCAUAGGAAGGUAGAACCACCCCUGCCCAAAACCGCGUCCGCCUUGCACGCUCUCCGACCGCCUGUGGUGAUUAAAAGGCUUUUGUUUAAGACAGAUCAGGGAGCCGGCAACUUAGCUGAGUGUGGUCUCAGAAAAAUGAGACGCGUGGGGACCUAGCGGGUCGUUCUGCACGAGGGAUCCCCCCACCCCCGGUCGUGCCUGGCGCUCGGGGCUACCGGUAGCACCGGGAGGCGUAGGCAGGACUGAGUUGGGGCGCCCGGGCCAGAUUGGGCUAAUGUGGUUGCGCGGAGCGUCAGGCAGUCCGGGAAAUGUUUAAACUUCAAGGCGUCGUGGAAUGGGGAAUGCAUUUGAAGCAAACGGGCUUUGCUUUUGACAGAACCCUGGCCAGCCUUCCAAGCCGUCUGCUGGCCUUGAGCGCCGAGUUUGAUUUUGGCACAAGCUCUUGGAAGCAGUUUUCUCACUGCGUGCCCUCCUCGACCCCACUCCCACCCUGAAAAGCCCCUGGCAUUGCAGAGGGCCUGUGCCACCAUCCGCCGUCCAAAAGGGAAGUUCCAAAAUGAAGGGUGGAAGUUCCAAAAUGAAGGGUGGCAGUUCUUUCUUUCCCGAAGUUCAUUGUAAGUACAUGCAACCUCGGAAUUAGUGAGGACCUCCUCAGCCCCGCUGUCUCUACUCCCUCCCUCCAGGCCCUGGACCGAAGACUCUGGGUCCACCCCUGGGAGUUGGCAUCUGCUUCAGUGGAGGCUGGGGGCCAUGAGUCUCCCCACCCUAUGGGAGGCGCCAGCCAGAGGCAUUGAUGUUCCCCACGCAUACCCUGGCUCCUGCCUGUCUGACCGUGGGCCCAGCUUAGCUAUUGUGAAUCGACAUUUCCGGGAGCCUAACCCGGGCCUCAGUCCAAUUGGGGUGAGAGCCCCCCUCCCCAAAUGUCAUUGCGUUCCUCUUUAGACAGCUCCAGUGGGGGCGCUUGUGGCCUUUCAGGGACCCUUGGCUUUGACUGGCAGCCUCCCCCAGAUCACGGAUGCUUAGCAAUCUGCAGUUCCUUUCCUCUCAGCAGCGCCCAAAUUGAGCCUGAAAAAGGUCAGGGAAUUGGAUCAGGACUCCUGGGGGCUGCAGACCUGACCCCUCUUGAUCAUUCGCAGUGUGUGGGGCUCAUAGAGCAUGGCCACAUGUCUUGAGUCGCUGACGUCUCAGAUCCUGAAGUGGAGGGAAAUUGGGAGAAGUAGUCUUUUGUGUCUGUAAAGGGAAGAGGUUCCUAGACUGCCGGUCCUUUUGCAUGUCUCCUUAGACCCCUCUUUGCAUUGGUGGUGGCUUCUCUAGCCUCCCCAGUUGCCCCCUUGACUUCUUUUCACAUUGGCUGGGAGAUGCACAGUGCAAUCCGGAAGGGUGCUCUGAGGAAGCAGCUUUUAAAAUUUCUGCCCAUCCACUCUGCCCCCCAAAAGUGGCACAGCCCUGAGAGGCCACUCAGGGCCCAAAUUCAGGGUGAACCUAGCCCCAGGUCCACUCAGGCCCAGGGCCGCUGCUCUUCUUCCCAGUGACAGGAGAGCAGAGAUACAAGCCAUUUCUUGAUUACAAAUGCUAAUUUCUUGCUAAAGCGACCCUUUUAA